Molecule: transfer RNA, 76 nt
Filed under: Ferrithrix thermotolerans DSM 19514
Lineage: Bacteria; Bacillati; Actinomycetota; Acidimicrobiia; Acidimicrobiales; Acidimicrobiaceae
Description: tRNA_Ala_TGC
Rfam family: tRNA
About the family: Transfer RNA (tRNA) molecules are approximately 80 nucleotides in length. Their secondary structure includes four short double-helical elements and three loops (D, anti-codon, and T loops). Further hydrogen bonds mediate the characteristic L-shaped molecular structure. tRNAs have two regions of fundamental functional importance: the anti-codon, which is responsible for specific mRNA codon recognition, and the 3' end, to which the tRNAs corresponding amino acid is attached (by aminoacyl-tRNA synthetases). tRNAs cope with the degeneracy of the genetic code in two manners: having more than one tRNA (with a specific anti-codon) for a particular amino acid; and 'wobble' base-pairing, i.e. permitting non-standard base-pairing at the 3rd anti-codon position.
Source: RNAcentral
GGGGAUGUAGCUCAGCUGGAAGAGCACCUGCUUUGCAAGCAGGGGGUCGUGGGUUCGAGUCCCAUCAUCUCCACUA